GCUCGUAGCGGAGGAAGAGAUAACAUGACACCUUAGUAGCGGCGAGCGAAGUGGGUAAAGCUCAAGUUUAAAACCUGUUUGUCCUAGACAAACCGGAUUGUAAACUAAGGACGUGCUAUCCAGGCUCUUUGGACCUUCAAGUCCUUUGGAAUAAGGCUUCACAGAGGGUGACAAUCCCGUAGAGGGUCUUGAAAGAGUCUAUUGCGAUGCAUGCUCCAAGAGUCAGGUUGUUUGGGAAUGCAGCCUAAAGUGGGAGGUAAAUCCCUCCUAAAGCUAAAUAUUGGCGAGAGACCGAUAGCAAACAAGUACCGUGAGGGAAAGUUGAAAAGGACUUUGAAAAGAGAGUCAAAAGUACGUGAAAUUGCUUAAAGGGAAGCGUUUGGAGCUAGUUUGGCUAGUCUGUUAUCAGCCUGAGCUUCGGCUUUGGUGUACUAUCAGGCUAUUUGCCGGCCAACUUUCAGGAUUGGAAGGAAAGCUUAGUGCUUUGGAGUCUAAAGAGACCUUUGCGGAAGCCUCUGGUGGAGCGUUGGUCUGCCUUGGCCCUUCUGAGCCUAUAGUUGGCUUAUGCUCUAAACGGCCCGUCUUGAAACGGGUCCAACGCAUUAACCACUAUAGUCAAGGCA
RNAcentral lists this ribosomal RNA (623 nucleotides) under Rhizomucor pusillus. Its description in RNAcentral is "LSU rRNA". It matches the Rfam family "Eukaryotic large subunit ribosomal RNA", at positions 43 to 664 of the family's 3401-position model. The record is from RNAcentral. Lineage: Eukaryota; Fungi; Mucoromycota; Mucoromycetes; Mucorales; Lichtheimiaceae.